RNAcentral lists this ribosomal RNA (460 nucleotides) under uncultured bacterium. RNAcentral describes it as "partial 16S ribosomal RNA". It matches the Rfam family "Bacterial small subunit ribosomal RNA", at positions 338 to 795 of the family's 1533-position model. The record is from RNAcentral.
CCUACGGGUGGCAGCAGUGAGGAAUAUUGGUCAAUGGACGAGAGUCUGAACCAGCCAAGUAGCGUGAAGGAUGACUGCCCUAUGGGUUGUAAACUUCUUUUAUAUGGGAAUAAAACGUUCCACGUGUGGGAUUUUGUAUGUACCAUAUGAAUAAGGAUCGGCUAACUUCGUGCCAGCAGCCGCGGUAAUACGGAGGAUCCGAGCGUUAUCCGGAUUUAUUGGGUUUAAAGGGAGCGUAGGUGGAUUGUUAAGUCAGUUGUGAAAGUUUGCGGCUCAACCGUAGAAUUGCAGUUGAAACUGGCAGUCUUGAGUACAGUAGAGGUGGGCGGAAUUCGUGGUGUAGCGGUGAAAUGCUUAGAUAUCACGAAGAACUCCGAUUGCGAAGGCAGUUCACUGGACUGCAACUGACACUGAGGCUCGAAAGUGUGGGUAUCAAACAGGAUUAGAUACCCGUGUAGUC